This is a long non-coding RNA of Bombus terrestris (buff-tailed bumblebee), 518 nucleotides long. RefSeq lists it as uncharacterized. Lineage: Eukaryota; Metazoa; Arthropoda; Insecta; Hymenoptera; Apidae. The transcript has 2 exons. The record is from RefSeq and is a predicted model, not a curated record.
ACCUGCUAAUCAUUUCCAGGUGCAAAACCAUGCGCACCAACGACUCGUGCCGAUCGAUACGCGACAAUAUUAAUCGUAGCUGGCAAUCUAGAUGCGGUAAAUCGAUCGUUCUCCAUCACGACCUUUGCUCGUACGCUGUUUGCGCGAAACACGAUCGACCAUCGAAUAAGUCGUUUCUUUGUCUAUUCACAGAUUCGUGUUCAGAAUGGGAAAGUGACUAUAAGUAAUAAAAGUAAAAAAGAAAAGAAGAGAAGAGAAAAGAAAAGAAAUGAAAAGAAAUCAAGAGGAUUUUCAUACUGAGAAUUUGUAUUUGUUAUUACUUGUUGUUUCUAUAAAAUGAUGACUUGAUUCUUCCAUAUUUGCCAUAUCGUCAUACUUUGAUAGGAUUUCGAGAAACGAUGAAACAUCAAAAUUAUUGAAAAGAACGUGGCAUGCAAUGCGGUAGUUGCAGUAUCUUUAGCAUCUCGACUAAAAUUAAUGAAAAACAAAAUAUACAUUUCCAUGCGUUUGUGUGGGAC